GGCGCUAUAGCCAAGUGGUCUACGGCGAUAGAUUAGAAAUCUAUUCCUCUUUGAGGGCGCAAGUUCGAAUCUUGCUGGCGUCG
This is a non-coding RNA of Galerina marginata CBS 339.88, 83 nucleotides long. Lineage: Eukaryota; Fungi; Basidiomycota; Agaricomycetes; Agaricales; Galerinaceae. The record is from Rfam.